AGCGGGGUGGAGCAGUGGUAGCUCGUCGGGCUCAUAACCCGAAGGUCGUCGGUUCGAAUCCGUCCCCCGCAACCA
RNAcentral lists this transfer RNA (75 nucleotides) under Chloroflexota bacterium. RNAcentral describes it as "tRNA-Met". It matches the Rfam family "tRNA". From Rfam's summary of the family: Transfer RNA (tRNA) molecules are approximately 80 nucleotides in length. Their secondary structure includes four short double-helical elements and three loops (D, anti-codon, and T loops). Further hydrogen bonds mediate the characteristic L-shaped molecular structure. tRNAs have two regions of fundamental functional importance: the anti-codon, which is responsible for specific mRNA codon recognition, and the 3' end, to which the tRNAs corresponding amino acid is attached (by aminoacyl-tRNA synthetases). tRNAs cope with the degeneracy of the genetic code in two manners: having more than one tRNA (with a specific anti-codon) for a particular amino acid; and 'wobble' base-pairing, i.e. permitting non-standard base-pairing at the 3rd anti-codon position. Lineage: Bacteria; Bacillati; Chloroflexota. RNAcentral also lists the same sequence under 4 other names. The record is from RNAcentral.